GGAAAAACUGUGAAGAAAAGUAGUAAAUUAAUCCCUCACUUAUAGAGAGGAGUACUCAAAGCUGGGAGGUACUCUAGGUGAUAUUAAUUGAAGUCGUUUCUGAGUUGCUAAAAUGAAGUUAAAGUAGUUUUAGCCGAAUGCUAGGCGUUACCUAGUUUAAGAGCCGUAAGGAACUAAGGUGGUACCGCGAAAGAUCCUCUUUCGUCCUUAAC
RNAcentral lists this non-coding RNA (212 nucleotides) under Halobacteroides halobius. Its description in RNAcentral is "T-box sequence". It matches the Rfam family "T-box leader". From Rfam's summary of the family: Uncharged tRNA acts as the effector for transcription antitermination of genes in the T-box leader family. T-boxes are found upstream of many aminoacyl-tRNA synthetase genes and some amino acid biosynthetic genes usually in Gram-positive bacteria. Lineage: Bacteria; Bacillati; Bacillota; Clostridia; Halanaerobiales; Halobacteroidaceae. The record is from RNAcentral.